AGUUCGAUUCUGCCAGGAUUGAACGCUGGCGGGAUGCUUUACACAUGCAAGUCGAACGGCAGCACGGACUUCGGUCUGGUGGCGAGUGGCGAACGGGUGAGUAAUGUAUCGGAACGUGCCUUAGUAGCGGGGAUAACUACGCGAAAGCGUAGCUAAUACCGCAUACGCUUCGGGGAAAGCGGGGACCUUCGGGCCUCGCACUAAUAGAGCGGCCGAUAUCGGAUUAGCUAGUUGGUGGGGUAAUGGCUCACCAAGGCGACGAUCCGUAGCUGGUUUGAGAGGACGACCAGCCGCUUUACUUGACCGAGGACACGGCCUGACUCCUACGGGAGGCAGCAGUGGGGAAUUUUGGACAAUGGGGGAAACUCCCGAUCCAGCCAUCCCGCGUGUGCGAUGAAGGCCUUCGGUUGUAAAGCACUUGGCAGGAGAAGAAACGGCACGGGAUAACACUCGUGCAACUGACGGUACCUGCAGAAUAAGCACCGGCUAACUACGUGCCAGCAGCCGCGACAAUACGGUGGGUGCAAGCGUUAAUCGGAAUUACUGGCGUAAGCGUGCGCAGGCGGUUCGGAAAGAAAGAUGUGAAAUCCCAGAGCUUAACUUUGAACUGCAUUUAACUACCGAGCUAGAGUGUGUCAGAGGGAGGUGGAAUUCCGCGUGUAGCAGUGAAAUGCGUAGAGUUAUGCGGAGGAACACCGAUGGCGAAGGCAGCUCUCCCUGAUAACACUGACGCUCAUGCACGAAAGCGUGGGGAGCAAACAGACGAUACCCUGCAGUCCACGCCCUAAACGAUGCUCGUUCAGCUGUUGGGGCCUUCAGGCUUGGUAGCACAGCUAACGCGCAAGUAUGAAGUUGACCGCCGCCUGGGGAGUACGGUCGCAAGAUUAAAACUCAAAGGAAUUGACGGGGACCCGCACAAGCGGUGGAUGAUGAUUAAGCACUCCGAUGCAACGCGAAAAACCUUACCUACCCUUUGAUGUCUGGAAUCCCGAAGAGAUUUGGGAGUGCUCGCAAGAGAACCGGAACACAGGUGCUGCAUGGAGUUGCUCGCCAGCUCGUGUCGUGAGAUGUUGGGUUAAGUCCCGCAAUGAGCGCAACCCUUGUCAUUAGUUGCUACGAAAGGGCACCUAAUGAGACUGCCGGUGACAAACCGGAGGAAGGUGGGGAUGACGUCAAGUCCUCAUGGCCCUUAUGGUAGGGCUUCACACGUCAUACAAUGGUCGGGACAGGUCGCUAACCCGCGAGGGGAGCUAACUCCAGAAACCCGAUCGUAGUCCGGAUCGCAGUUCGCAAACUCGACUGCGGAAGUCGGAAUCGCUAGUACCGCGGAUCAGCAUGUCGCGGUGAAUACGUUCUGGUCUUGUACACACCGCCCGUCACACCAUGGGAGUGGGUUUUACCAGAAGUAGUUAGCCUGAACCGUAAGGAGUGGCGAUUACCACGGUAGGAUUCAUGACUGGGGUGAAGUCGUAACAAGGUAACC
This 1483-nucleotide ribosomal RNA is filed under the name uncultured Bordetella sp. RNAcentral describes it as "partial 16S-23S ribosomal RNA intergenic spacer". It matches the Rfam family "Bacterial small subunit ribosomal RNA". Lineage: Bacteria; Pseudomonadati; Pseudomonadota; Betaproteobacteria; Burkholderiales; Alcaligenaceae. The record is from RNAcentral.